This 100-nucleotide non-coding RNA is filed under the name Lactobacillus sp. RNAcentral's name for it is "TPP sequence". It matches the Rfam family "TPP riboswitch aptamer (THI element)". From Rfam's summary of the family: Vitamin B(1) in its active form thiamin pyrophosphate (TPP) is an essential coenzyme that is synthesised by coupling of pyrimidine and thiazole moieties in bacteria. The previously detected thiamin-regulatory element, thi box was extended, resulting in a new, highly conserved RNA secondary structure, the THI element, which is widely distributed in eubacteria and also occurs in some archaea. The record is from RNAcentral. Lineage: Bacteria; Bacillati; Bacillota; Bacilli; Lactobacillales; Lactobacillaceae.
CGAUAACACGAGGGGUGCCUUUUUGGCUGAGAUGAAAAUUAUUUCAGACCCUUUGAACCUGUAAGUUAACACUUGCGUAGGAACGUGUCGAACCUGUUAG